RNAcentral lists this transfer RNA (72 nucleotides) under Camelus bactrianus (Bactrian camel). It matches the Rfam family "tRNA". From Rfam's summary of the family: Transfer RNA (tRNA) molecules are approximately 80 nucleotides in length. Their secondary structure includes four short double-helical elements and three loops (D, anti-codon, and T loops). RNAcentral also lists the same sequence under 1 other name. Lineage: Eukaryota; Metazoa; Chordata; Mammalia; Artiodactyla; Camelidae. The record is from Rfam by way of RNAcentral.
GUGGGUAGGGCUUAGUGGUAGACCGUGUGAUUGGCAUGCAUGAGGUCCUGGGUCCAAUCCCCAGUACCUCCA